RNAcentral lists this ribosomal RNA (253 nucleotides) under uncultured bacterium. Its description in RNAcentral is "partial 16S ribosomal RNA". It matches the Rfam family "Bacterial small subunit ribosomal RNA", at positions 524 to 776 of the family's 1533-position model. The record is from RNAcentral.
UACGGAGGGUGCGAGCGUUGUCCGGAAUCACUGGGCGUAAAGGGCGCGUAGGCGGCUGAGCAAGGUCGUGGUGAAAGCCCGGGGCUCAACCCCGGGUCGGCCAUGGCAACUACUCGGCUGGAGCACAGUAGAGGCAGGCGGAAUUCCGGGUGUAGCGGUGGAAUGCGUAGAGAUCCGGAAGAACACCGGUGGCGAAGGCGGCCUGCUGGGCUGUGGCUGACGCUGAGGCGCGACAGCGUGGGGAGCAAACAGG